RNAcentral lists this ribosomal RNA (26 nucleotides) under Diaporthe longicolla. Its description in RNAcentral is "partial small subunit ribosomal RNA". The record is from RNAcentral. Lineage: Eukaryota; Fungi; Ascomycota; Sordariomycetes; Diaporthales; Diaporthaceae. RNAcentral also lists the same sequence under 4 other names.
UUGGUGAACCAGCGGAGGGAUCAUUG